RNAcentral lists this ribosomal RNA (490 nucleotides) under uncultured bacterium. RNAcentral describes it as "partial 16S ribosomal RNA". It matches the Rfam family "Bacterial small subunit ribosomal RNA", at positions 30 to 507 of the family's 1533-position model. The record is from RNAcentral.
AUUGAACGCUGGCGGCAUGCUUUACACAUGCAAGUCGGACGGCAGCACAGAGAAGCUUGCUUCUUGGGUGGCGAGUGGCGAACGGGUGAGUAAUAUAUCGGAACGUACCGAGUAAUGGGGGAUAACUAAUCGCUAGAUUAGCUAAUACCGCAUAUUCUCUGAGGAGGAAAGCAGGGGACCUUCGGGCCUUGCGUUAUUCGAGCGGCCGAUAUCUGAUUAGCUAGUUGGUGGGGUAAAGGCCUACCAAGGCGACGAUCAGUAGCGGGUCUGAGAGGAUGAUCCGCCACACUGGGACUUAGACACGGCCCAGACGCCUACGGGAGGCCGCAGAGGGGAAUUUUGGACAAUGGGCGCAAGCCUGAUCCAGCCAUGCCGCGUGUCUGAAGAAGGCCUUCGGGUUGUAAAGGACUUUUGUCAGGGAAGAAAAGGCUGUUGCUAAUAUCGACAGCUGAUGACGGUACCUGAAGAAUAAGCACCGGCUAACUACGUG